UAGGAGAGGAAGGGUGGAGGAGAGGAAGGGUGGAGGAGAGAAGGAGAUGAGUGGAAGAGUAGAGGUAGGAGAGGAAGGGUGGAAGAGAGAAGGAGAUGAGAGGAAGAGUAGAGGUAGGAGAGGAAGGGUGGAGGAGAGAAGGAGAUGAGAGGAAGAGUAGAGGAAGGAGAGGAAGGGUGGAAGAGAGAAGGAGAUGAGAGGAAGAGUAGAGGUAGGAGAGGAAGGGUGGAGGAGAGAAGGAGAUGAGAGGAAGAGUAGAGGAAGGAGAGGAAGGGUGGAAGAGAGAAGGAGAUGAGAGGAAGAGUAGAGGUAGGAGAGGAAGGGUGGAAGAGAGAAGGAGAUGAGAGGAAGAGUAGAGGUAGGAGAGGAAGGGUGGAAGAGAGAAGGAGAUGAGAGGAAGAGUAUAGAGG
Oncorhynchus keta (chum salmon) is the source of this 410-nucleotide long non-coding RNA. RefSeq lists it as uncharacterized. The transcript has 3 exons. The record is from RefSeq and is a predicted model, not a curated record. NCBI's taxonomy places the organism in Eukaryota, Metazoa, Chordata, Actinopteri, Salmoniformes, Salmonidae.